CCAGCGGAGGGAUCAUUACCGAGUUUACAACUCCCAAACCCCUGUGAACAUACCACUUGUUGCCUCGGCGGAUCAGCCCGCUCCCGGUAAAACGGGACGGCCCGCCAGAGGACCCCUAAACUCUGUUUCUAUAUGUAACUUCUGAGUAAAACCAUAAAUAAAUCAAAACUUUCAACAACGGAUCUCUUGGUUCUGGCAUCGAUGAAGAACGCAGCAAAAUGCGAUAAGUAAUGUGAAUUGCAGAAUUCAGUGAAUCAUCGAAUCUUUGAACGCACAUUGCGCCCGCCAGUAUUCUGGCGGGCAUGCCUGUUCGAGCGUCAUUUCAACCCUCAAGCCCUCGGGUUUGGUGUUGGGGAUCGGCGAGCCCUUGCGGCAAGCCGGCCCCGAAAUCUAGUGGCGGUCUCGCUGCAGCCUCCAUUGCGUAGUAGUAAAACCCUCGCAACUGGAACGCGGCGCGGCCAAGCCGUUAAACCCCCAACUUCUGAAUGUUGACCUCGGAUCAGGUAGGAAUACCCGCUGAACUUAAGCAUAUCAAUAGCCGGAGGAA
RNAcentral lists this ribosomal RNA (547 nucleotides) under Fusarium sp. CBRF44. Its description in RNAcentral is "eukaryotic LSU rRNA". The stretch from base 167 to 320 matches the Rfam family "5.8S ribosomal RNA". Lineage: Eukaryota; Fungi; Ascomycota; Sordariomycetes; Hypocreales; Nectriaceae. The record is from RNAcentral.